GACGAACGCUGGCGGCGUGCCUAAUACAUGCAAGUAGAACGCAGUUGCGCACGGGUGAGUAACGCGUAGGUAACUUCCUCAUAGCGGGGGAUAACUAUUGGAAACGAUAGCUAAUACCCCAUACUUUGAGAUGGACCUGCUUUGUAUUAGCUAGUUGGUGGGGUAAAGGCUCACCAAGGCGACGAUACAUAGCCGAGCUGAGAGGGUGAACGGGCACAACGGGACUGGGGCACGGCCCAGACUCCCUAGGGAAGGAGCAGUAGGGAAUCUUCGGAAAUGGGGGGAAGUCUGAAUGAGGAACGGCGCGGGAGUGAAGAAGGUCUUCGGAGUGGAAAACUCGGUUGAUAGAGGAGCGGUAACUACAGAGAAAGGGACGGCUAACUACGUGCCAGCAGCCGCGGUAAUAC
RNAcentral lists this ribosomal RNA (407 nucleotides) under uncultured bacterium. RNAcentral describes it as "partial 16S ribosomal RNA". It matches the Rfam family "Bacterial small subunit ribosomal RNA", at positions 28 to 526 of the family's 1533-position model. The record is from RNAcentral.